GGCUUAGGAUGAACGCUAGCGGCAGGCUUAACACAUGCAAGUCGAGGGGCAUCGGGAGUAGCAAUACUUGCCGGCGACCGGCGCAAGGGUGCGUAACGCGUGAGCAACAUGCCCGUAUCAGGGGGGAUAAUCCAUGGAAACGUGGUCUAAUACCCCAUAGUAAUUAUGUAAGGCAUCUUAUAUAAUUUAAAGCUUUGGUGGAUACGGAUUGGCUCGCGUGACAUUAGCUAGAUGGUAAGGUAACGGCUUACCAUGGCUACGAUGUCUAGGGGUUCUGAGAGGAACGGUCCCCCCACACUGGAACUGAGACACGGUCCAGACUCCUACGGGAGGCAGCAGUGAGGAAUAUUGGACAAUGGAUGGAAAUCUGAUCCAGCCAUGCCGCGUGCAGGAAAGGACCGGCCCUAUGGGUUGUAAACUGUCUUUUGUAUGGGAGCAAUAAGGGCUACGUGUAGUCCGAUGAGAGUACCAUACGAAUAAGCACCGGCUAACUCCGUGCCAGCAGCGGC
RNAcentral lists this ribosomal RNA (509 nucleotides) under uncultured bacterium. RNAcentral's name for it is "bacterial SSU rRNA". It matches the Rfam family "Bacterial small subunit ribosomal RNA", at positions 21 to 518 of the family's 1533-position model. The record is from RNAcentral.